This 385-nucleotide ribosomal RNA is filed under the name uncultured organism. RNAcentral's name for it is "bacterial SSU rRNA". It matches the Rfam family "Bacterial small subunit ribosomal RNA", at positions 45 to 433 of the family's 1533-position model. The record is from RNAcentral.
CGCUUAACACAUGCAAGUCGAACGCCUCCAGGGCAACCUGGAGGAGUGGCGAACGGGUGCGUAACACGUGGGUAAUCUGCCUCCGAGACGGGGAUAACUCGCCGAAAGGCGAGCUAAUACCGGAUAUGCACACGGGAGCGAGAGCUUCUGUGUGGAGAGGUCGAAAGACGCUCGGGGAUGAGCCCGCGGCCCAUCAGCUAGUUGGCGAGGUAAAGGCUCACCAAGGCGACGACGGGUAGCUGGUCUGAGAGGACGGCCAGCCACACUGGAACUGAGACACGGUCCAGACUCCUACGGGAGGCAGCAGUGGGGAAUCUUGCGCAAUGGGCGAAAGCCUGACGCAGCGACGCCGCGUGUGCGAUGAAGGUCUUCGGUCGUAAAGCAC